CGCAGAAGUUUCACCAAAGGCCUAGACCAGAUUGGAAAAUCACUAAAUGAGAAUCCCAAGUACCAAGUUAGUGUGGAAUAUGAAGCGUGGACUCCAAGCAGGGCCGGAUUAACGUAGGGGCAGAUGGAGCUGCAGCUCCAGGCCCAUGCCCAUUGCUAAAAAAAAAAUAUAUUUUUAUUUUACUACCCUUCACAUGUGGAUGUAGGGAAACAAAAGCUUGUGUGGAUUGGCUGACAAUGAAAUUAGUUAAUGUAAAGCUGACUUUGCGCACCAUGCAAAUGCUCUUGCUUCUUCAGUCUCUCUAACUCUGUGGCAUGUUCCUAAGACUGUAUAACAGGAGCUCCUGCCUGCUAGUAAGACAGUAAAGAGAGGAGUGGACAAGUGAGUGCUUGGGGCAGUUCUUAGAAAUCAUGGAGCAAGCGCAUUAGACUAAUUUAUGCCAAGCUCAGGGUGCUGUCUGCAUAGUAUGCCCUGAGUUGGCCAGGCUGCAUGAUUGGCAGGCACCCUGACAUGUAUUCACGCCAGGCUGACCUUCUAAUUCCUCGGGCAGAUUUAUUUGGGCAUGAUUGUGGUUUUGGUUACGUGAUUCAUGUCAGUGGCUCACCUUUUUACCCUGCCCACCAGGGCUGGACUGGGAAAAAAAAUCAGCCCGGGAAUUUAAAGGCAGGGCAGCCCAGUUGGAGGGGACGGGGACAAAAAGUGGGCGUUUCAUGUCAUCAAUAAUGACAUGCACGCCACCUCAGAGUGAGUAUGUUAGUUGGCUGUACCUCCAGGGCAUUUCAUGCGCAGAGCCCUGCUGAAGAGCACUCGCACCAAUGCCCUGUGUUUAUUUUACACAGCAGAGCUCUGCGAUUGCUGGUGACAUUGUCUCUGGUGUCCCUACCAGAGGGAUAACAGAGGACAAAAGUGGGGUGUGACCAGUAAAGGGUGUUGUGCAUGUGUGGGGUGGCUCUCUGUGGCACUGUAUGUGGUUGGAGGCUGAUUGUGAGAUUGUGUGUGCAUAGAAGUGACUGUUUGUGGUGUUGUGUGUGUGUGUGUAAACGAGUCUGGUGUACUAUGUGUGGCUAGGGACUGUAGUGCGUAUAUGUUUCCACUGGAUGUAAAGUGUGGGUCUGUAGAGAUUGUGUGUGUAUAGCGGUUGUAGAGAGAGAGAGAGAGAGAGAAAGCAUUUGUGUAUUUGUAGUACUUCUAGAGGGGGUAGUGUGCAUGUAUGUUUAUUGGGACUGUUGUGUGUGUGGGGGUGUAUCUAGGGGCUGUACCAUGUUAUAGGGGCUGUAAUGUGUGUUUUUAUGUAUAGGGGCUGUAGUUUGUGUGAACAAGGUAGUAUAUGUGAACAGGGUAGUUUGUGUUUGUAGUGUAGUGUGAGUAUAGGGGCUAUAAAGAGGGUUUGUGAGUCUAGAGGGUGUAUGUGACUGUCUAUGUGGUGUAGUGUGUGUCUAGAGAGUGUGUGCAUUUAGGGGCUGUAGUGUGCGUAUACAUGUAUCUAUUGUUUGUGUGUAUGGACUGUAGUGUGUGUAUAGGGCUACAGUGAGUUUGCAUUAGGGCUGCUGUUUGUGUGUAUAAUGGUCUUUAGUAUGUAUUUAUUGGGCUAUUGUGUAGGGGGGCAUAAGGGUUCAGACUGUAGAGGGAAACAAAUAAUACAAUUUAAAAAAAUAA
Molecule: long non-coding RNA, 1656 nt
Filed under: Pelobates cultripes (western spadefoot toad)
Lineage: Eukaryota; Metazoa; Chordata; Amphibia; Anura; Pelobatidae
Source: RNAcentral